RNAcentral lists this unclassified non-coding RNA (431 nucleotides) under soil metagenome. RNAcentral's name for it is "partial contains 5.8S ribosomal RNA, internal transcribed spacer 2, and large subunit ribosomal RNA". The stretch from base 1 to 120 matches the Rfam family "5.8S ribosomal RNA", at positions 35 to 154 of the family's 154-position model. The record is from RNAcentral.
GAUGAAGAACGCAGCGAAAUGCGAUACGUAAUGUGAAUUGCAGAAUUCAGUGAAUCAUCGAAUCUUUGAACGCAUAUUGCGCUCUCUGGUAUUCCGGAGAGCAUGCUUGUUUGAGUAUCAGUAAACACCUCAACUUCCAUAUCUUUUUUGAAAUGGGAGUUGGACUUGAGUGAUCCCAACGCUUUUCCUCACCGAAAAGUGGCGGGUUACUUGAAAUGCAGGUGCAGCUGGACUUUUCUCUGAGCUAUAAGCAUAUCUAUUUAGUCUGCCUAAAAAACAGAUUAUUACCUUUGCUGCAGCUAACAUAAAGGAGAUUAGUUCUUGUGCUGACUGAUGCAGGAUUCACAAAGACGGCUUCGGCCGACUUUGUAAACUCGAUCUCAAAUCAAGUAAGACUACCCGCUGAACUUAAGCAUAUCAAUAAGCGGAGG